This 334-nucleotide unclassified non-coding RNA is filed under the name soil metagenome. RNAcentral's name for it is "partial contains 5.8S ribosomal RNA, internal transcribed spacer 2, and large subunit ribosomal RNA". The stretch from base 1 to 120 matches the Rfam family "5.8S ribosomal RNA", at positions 35 to 154 of the family's 154-position model. The record is from RNAcentral.
GAUGAAGAACGCAGCGAAAUGCGAUAAGUAAUGUGAAUUGCAGAAUUCAGUGAAUCAUCGAAUCUUUGAACGCACAUUGCGCCCAUUAGUAUUCUAGUGGGCAUGUCUGUUCGAGCGUCAUUUCAACCCUUAAGCCUAGCUUAGUAUUGGGAAUCGACUUUACUGUCGUUCCUCAAAUUCAACGGCGGAUUUAUAGCAAUCUCUGAACGUAGUAAUUUUUUUUCUCGUUUUUGAAAUACUAUAAACCUCAGCCGCUAAACCCCCAAUUUCUUAUGGUUGACCUCGGAUCAGGUAGGAAUACCCGCUGAACUUAAGCAUAUCAAUAAGCGGAGGA